ACAUGGGUGAGUGAGUCGCGGCGCCAAACGUCUGAUCCGGUCAGAGGUGACGGGUCCAUGCAGGCUUCAGGGUCGGUUCAGGGCAAAGCUGCCGGGAGCGUAAAAACAACGACUUAGAGGACGAGGCGCUCUGAAAGGAGCUAAUCUGGCGGCGCGGAGAGGCCCGGUUCAAACGGCCCACGAGGUGCCACUCAGGCUACGAGCCAGGACGGCAGGCUCGUUACGAUAACAGAGAUUCAGAACUGAUGGAAAGAAAGAUGAAAUAAUCUGACUUGAUGUCAGGAGGGAAGACAGAGAUGGUAGAAGAGGAAAAGGAAAGAAACACCUCCCACGUCACCCCUCCCUCCCUCCCUCCCCCCGUCAGCUCCACAUCAGAGGGAACCAGCAACAGUUCCAGUCCGCUCGUCCCGUAAGAGUCGACCGCUGAGCCGACCAGAUUGAAAAGGAGGAGCCGAGGCCGCGGAGCAUGAAAGAGGAUAGAAGAAGAAGAAGAAGAAGAAGACAAGAGAAUAAGAGAGAAUCCAGAAGUGACCAUAUUUGGACGAGAGGAUGGAUCGUCUGAUUGGAUCUGACUGAAAAGAGAAACAAAUAAAUGUCUGGUUUCCAGCUGAGCUCAGAAACGGUGGGAAACAAGAUGAAAGUCACAAUAAAUCUGCUCAUAUUGAUGCAUAUCCUGCUUCAUCGUCUAUUUUACACUCAGCGAGAUGAUUUUUUACAAAGCGAACACCAGGUUGUGUUUCAGAAGUCUUAAACUAGAGACUGAGGUCAUAAACUCUUCAUGAAACUGUUAACUGAGCUCAUAAACUCAGAGAGAAGUCGGCUCACUUUCUCAUAAGCUUCCAUACAACCAGACUUCUUCUUGAAACCAGUUGAGCCUGAACAACCUGAACACGACCGUCUGAGGAUGGAUGGCUAACGAGAUGAUCGCUGUGAGGUCCAGACGUCGCCGCUCUUUCCCCAAAUUGAUUCAGUUUAACGGAUCUCAUCUCGACCGGCGCUCAGAACUUAAUUCUUUGUUUUAUAAUUUGCUCUUAAUCGCCUUCGCUCCUCGCUAAUGACGAGGCUGCAGCUCUGCUCAGACUAAAGCCCCUCAUCGUGAGCCGCUAAAGCUCUUAAAUAAAUAAGAUUAGCGCAACAUCCCGUGUUACAUUUGUGAAUCAGACGAGCGCUAUCAGAUCUGCCACGUUAUCAGAACCAUCCGUCCAGCGGGCCUCCGACACGUCGGGGCGGCGUCAACGAGCCCGACAGCUGACAGGAGGCUGACUGCAGCCUGUUUCCUGCUCAGUAACCAGUCUGAGUGAGUCUGUGGGAGAAGAGAGUAAAUUAAUAAAAAGGUGACAAACCUCUGCAGCUGCUGAUUAGCUGAAAUAAAAUAAUAAAAGCUCGGCCACCUGCAGCUGAACCGUGCGGCGUUACGUCGUGUUGAAGUGUUUCUGCUGAUGUGUUCAAGCUUCAGCUGACUUCAGUUGCUUCCUGACCUAAAAGUCUCACUUCGCGCAGCAGUAAAACAACAUGUUCUCAAAGCUUCAGUGUUUGUUUACGCUCAGGUAACUUUAAUCCCGAGGUUUCUCCUGUUGUCAGUCAGAGCAGUGACAGCAGGACCGGAGGGAGCUCGAGCCGCCGGCGCCCGGCGCAGCGUGCAGGGACCCGUUACUGCAGCGCCGCGAGGACAGUCGAUCACAAACACACAGUUCCAGACGUGGUGAGACAGACGAGCUCGACACAAACUUCCAGACUCCUGUCAGGGUUCGGCCCGAUCAGCGGGUCCACAUGAGGUCCGGGAAGCGUCUUUGUUCAUCUGUGAAUCAGUUACUGUGAGGACAUGAGGGGCCGCCGCCGCUUCUCCAGGAGCUCUCGAGAAGACACUUUGAUGUCCUCUGAAGAACGGCCUCGUCGGGGAAAGUGAGGCGAUCCCUCGAGAAGACAAAGUGUUUUUUGUUCGGGAACAGCGAGAAGCCAAAAAGCCGAGUCACUCUGUCACUACAAAGACGAGGAGGAAUAAAAGUUCCCGGCCCCGCGGAGAGGCCGGCGGGAUAAUAAGACAUCCAGAACAGCUGCUCAGAGAGGCCGUCCUCUCUCUGAAAUAAGCAGCAGAGAUUGCCUGAACAUGGCCGACAGAUUAGUUCUCCCUAAUGUGGUAAAUCCCGGCCCGUGUUUGCAGGAGGCGGCGGUGCACGCUGGUGAGGCCCAGCAGGACGCAGAGCGGGCAAACACACGUCCUGGACGCCAUGUUUACUGAAAACUGUUUGUCCAGCUGCCGGAGGGACGCCGCGAGGAAACGGGACGGCUGUUAAUUAAAAUCGUGAUUCGUCCCUUUUUUCCUUGGAUCAAAUGAGUUGUACAUUACUGUCGACACGGCCAAACAAACAGCGGGGAUGCCAGUGUACAUGUUUGCUAACCGGCCCGGCUGUGAGUCCGGCUCAGCGGGGAGGAAGGUUUGAUUAUCGACACGCUGUUUGGAUAUUUCCUCCAGGCGCCGCAGAUAACAAACUGCCGUCACCUUCUGGGAGCUGCGGCGUGUUUCCCUGAUGAUCCGUCAUUCAUACGCUCAGGAUGGAUCUGUGUUCCUUCACUGUUUACAGACGGACGUGAACAUGUUGAAGUGACAGAAUGUAAAGUUCAGGGAGGGAAAAGGUGACGAGGAUAUUUAGUUUUAGACAUUUAAACAUCUCACAGUCGUUCGAGACAUUAGCAUUUUUUUGGAUGUGUACGUCAUAAAAGAAGUAACCACCUAAAAAUAACUUUACCAUCUUACUCGUGUGAUUAUCAAUGUUGUUUUUGUGCAGUUGGUGAAGCGGAUGUUGCUUUUCUUGUUUCUACUCAACGCGCUCAGUCAAUGUACAUGAGAAAAAAAGUAUUUUAUUUAAAGGAACAAGUACUCUCCAUGUUCAGCUGUGCUUCCUCUCUCUGCUCAGAGAAACUUCUGAACCAGUCAUCUGCUUUUACUUCACCACGUUUGCAUUUCGAGACGUAAAACUAGAUCAGUGUCAUGAUGAACUUCUUGCUGCGCCUCCUGAAAAAGAUCUGCACAAUAUAUGAUGUGAACUAUAACGAUGUGUAGAUCAAUUAACAUAAGUACAACUCUGAUCUUAUGUGUCUUUCAGAGUUGAAAUUAAAAUAUUAUAAUUAAAAGUAACUGAGUAAUUUAUUCAUCAGGUACUUUUUCACUUGAGUGGAUUUUAAAAGGUAAUUUUCAGCUUUAAUUUUAAUCUCUUUUUUUUGUAAUUUUACUUUUAACAUACAAUAAAAGUCCAGUCUCCAUUUUUGACUCUCCACUCCUUCAGACCUCAACACUGUUAAGAUGUUUUGUUAGUAGUAAUGUUAAAACUGGAUGUGAAAGAUGAAACACAGACUAAAGCUAACUCUUAGGGCUAGCUGGUGAGCUAAAGGUGGUAGCAUGUUAGCAUUAAACAGUCACAUUAUCUGUCCAGUGUGGCAUUUGUUCAUUAUUUUGUUUAAUAAAGAAUUAGAGAAGAGGGGAUAAAAGCUCUGCAAACUAGCAAGGCUGCCAACUUUCACUUCGCUUACCAUGAGCAAGCAAGCUUGUUAGCUUAGCUUACUGUUUCCUCCAACAGAUGAGGUUUAACAAAAU
This is a long non-coding RNA of Acanthopagrus latus (yellowfin seabream), 3592 nucleotides long. RefSeq lists it as uncharacterized. Lineage: Eukaryota; Metazoa; Chordata; Actinopteri; Spariformes; Sparidae. The record is from RefSeq and is a predicted model, not a curated record. The transcript is spliced from 5 exons.